This 50-nucleotide transfer RNA is filed under the name Proteus mirabilis. Its description in RNAcentral is "tRNA-Ser". Lineage: Bacteria; Pseudomonadati; Pseudomonadota; Gammaproteobacteria; Enterobacterales; Morganellaceae. The record is from RNAcentral.
CCAGGUUUUGAUCCUGGCAUUCCCAGGUUCGAAUCCUGGUACCCCAGCCA